Molecule: long non-coding RNA, 1141 nt
Organism: Culex quinquefasciatus (southern house mosquito)
Lineage: Eukaryota; Metazoa; Arthropoda; Insecta; Diptera; Culicidae
Exons: 3
Source: RefSeq, a predicted model, not a curated record
CUGCCACUCAUAACUCAGACAAGCAGAUGAUUUUAUGUCCGAGAAAAUAAAUAGGUGUGUUCCCCUAGACAUCCCAAAUUUAAUAAAACAUUGAAGUUGUCUUUGUCUUAUCAUAAAUUUAUACUCCACUACUCUCGACAACACGCACACAAUACACGAUCGUCGUCAGAUCACCCAUAGACAAGUGUUGGGUGUUCUUAUCCGCGUAAUCCCCUUCGCGCGCCACGACUGAAGCGACUACACUCUCACCUACCGGGUUGAAACAAGUGCACAUUAGACGGGUGUCAUGUGCAAAUGGACGAAACUCAACAGCAGAAGGCCGAUCGAGGUUCUAGCACAACCACACUAGUAGCCAACACUAAUACUCGCAGUGCUCCACCGUGAAACUGUUAUCUCUACAAUCACGCGACUGUGUAAUCCCGCGGGAGAGAGUGAGCUACCGAAGCCGAUUGCGAACCGAUAUAGGCGUGGGGUGCACUAACAUCGACAUCAGUUACCAGUUGAAAGUCAAGCAGACCGGUUCUUCGUUCUGGAGGCCCACGAGACUCGUCCGGAGAAGUGUGCAAAUUAGGAGUCUGACUGGUAGCGUGGCUGGCCUAAGAAGGCCAAUACUUGAUCUGCGGCACUGUGUUUAACAGCCACGAGGCCACAGUGGGCAGGUAAUCUUGAUCUUGCCCUAGUUAGGUGGAAGUUGACCGAUAUUUAAUUAUGCUUAAACAUGUGUAGUGAUAGUCGCAACAUCGAACGCAGUUUGCACCGCAUGUGCAGGGAGAACAACUACUGCCUGUGUGUAACUACAAUGGAGCUUGUCGAGUAGAUUGAAUCGACACAGGAGAUCGGCCUUCUAUUCUAUCCAUAUUCAACUCUAAUUUCACCAUGUCGGCUGGAGCCGUGAUGCUGUGGAACGUGUCGUGGUUGGCGUCCUGCUACGGUAAUACGGCGGGGAACGCUGGGGAUGACCGGUGUGGAAUACUGGUCACCGUCGCGGAUUUUGCCCGGGCAGUUCAUCGAAGAAGCCGCAGCCGCCGUGGGAUACACGUCACACACACACACGCCCCACACCUAGAUUAGGCCCGCCAACUAGUUCAUAAGGACGUCACCUAGUUGUAAGAUCAUCGCAAUAGAUGUAAGUAAACGCAAA